RNAcentral lists this ribosomal RNA (448 nucleotides) under uncultured bacterium. RNAcentral describes it as "bacterial SSU rRNA". It matches the Rfam family "Bacterial small subunit ribosomal RNA", at positions 355 to 825 of the family's 1533-position model. The record is from RNAcentral.
UCGGGAAUUUUGGGCAAUGGGCGAAAGCCUGACCCAGCAACGCCGCGUGAAGGAUGAAGUAUUUCGGUAUGUAAACUUCGUAAGAAUAGGAAGAAUAAAUGACGGUACUAUUUGUAAGGUCCGGCUAACUACGUGCCAGCAGCCGCGGUAAUACGUAGGGACCAAGCGUUGUUCGGAUUUACUGGGCGUAAAGGGCGCGUAGGCGGUGUGUCAAGUCAGUUGUGAAAUCUCCGAGCUUAACUCGGAACGGUCAACUGAUACUGUCACACUAGAGUACAGAAGGGGCAAUCGGAAUUCUUGGUGUAGCGGUGAAAUGCGUAGAUAUCAAGAGGAACACCUGAGGUGAAGACGGGUUGCUGGGCUGGACACUGACGCUGAGGCGCGAAAGCCAGGGGAGCAAACGGGAUUAGAUACCCCAGUAGUCCCUGAGCGGGCUGGCAAGGCGCAU